This 1552-nucleotide ribosomal RNA is filed under the name Staphylococcus aureus. RNAcentral's name for it is "16S ribosomal RNA". It matches the Rfam family "Bacterial small subunit ribosomal RNA". Lineage: Bacteria; Bacillati; Bacillota; Bacilli; Caryophanales; Staphylococcaceae. The record is from RNAcentral.
UUUAUGGAGAGUUUGAUCCUGGCUCAGGAUGAACGCUGGCGGCGUGCCUAAUACAUGCAAGUCGAGCGAACGGACGAGAAGCUUGCUUCUCUGAUGUUAGCGGCGGACGGGUGAGUAACACGUGGAUAACCUACCUAUAAGACUGGGAUAACUUCGGGAAACCGGAGCUAAUACCGGAUAAUAUUUUGAACCGCAUGGUUCAAAAGUGAAAGACGGUCUUGCUGUCACUUAUAGAUGGAUCCGCGCUGCAUUAGCUAGUUGGUAAGGUAACGGCUUACCAAGGCAACGAUGCAUAGCCGACCUGAGAGGGUGAUCGGCCACACUGGAACUGAGACACGGUCCAGACUCCUACGGGAGGCAGCAGUAGGGAAUCUUCCGCAAUGGGCGAAAGCCUGACGGAGCAACGCCGCGUGAGUGAUGAAGGUCUUCGGAUCGUAAAACUCUGUUAUUAGGGAAGAACAUAUGUGUAAGUAACUGUGCACAUCUUGACGGUACCUAAUCAGAAAGCCACGGCUAACUACGUGCCAGCAGCCGCGGUAAUACGUAGGUGGCAAGCGUUAUCCGGAAUUAUUGGGCGUAAAGCGCGCGUAGGCGGUUUUUUAAGUCUGAUGUGAAAGCCCACGGCUCAACCGUGGAGGGUCAUUGGAAACUGGAAAACUUGAGUGCAGAAGAGGAAAGUGGAAUUCCAUGUGUAGCGGUGAAAUGCGCAGAGAUAUGGAGGAACACCAGUGGCGAAGGCGACUUUCUGGUCUGUAACUGACGCUGAUGUGCGAAAGCGUGGGGAUCAAACAGGAUUAGAUACCCUGGUAGUCCACGCCGUAAACGAUGAGUGCUAAGUGUUAGGGGGUUUCCGCCCCUUAGUGCUGCAGCUAACGCAUUAAGCACUCCGCCUGGGGAGUACGACCGCAAGGUUGAAACUCAAAGGAAUUGACGGGGACCCGCACAAGCGGUGGAGCAUGUGGUUUAAUUCGAAGCAACGCGAAGAACCUUACCAAAUCUUGACAUCCUUUGACAACUCUAGAGAUAGAGUUUUCCCCUUCGGGGGACAAAGUGACAGGUGGUGCAUGGUUGUCGUCAGCUCGUGUCGUGAGAUGUUGGGUUAAGUCCCGCAACGAGCGCAACCCUUAAGCUUAGUUGCCAUCAUUAAGUUGGGCACUCUAAGUUGACUGCCGGUGACAAACCGGAGGAAGGUGGGGAUGACGUCAAAUCAUCAUGCCCCUUAUGAUUUGGGCUACACACGUGCUACAAUGGACAAUACAAAGGGCAGCGAAACCGCGAGGUCAAGCAAAUCCCAUAAAGUUGUUCUCAGUUCGGAUUGUAGUCUGCAACUCGACUACAUGAAGCUGGAAUCGCUAGUAAUCGUAGAUCAGCAUGCUACGGUGAAUACGUUCCCGGGUCUUGUACACACCGCCCGUCACACCACGAGAGUUUGUAACACCCGAAGCCGGUGGAGUAACCUUUUAGGAGCUAGCCGUCGAAGGUGGGACAAAUGAUUGGGGUGAAGUCGUAACAAGGUAGCCGUAUCGGAAGGUGCGGCUGGAUCACCUCCUUU